RNAcentral lists this non-coding RNA (102 nucleotides) under Polaromonas naphthalenivorans. RNAcentral describes it as "Glycine sequence". It matches the Rfam family "Glycine riboswitch aptamer". Rfam says of the family: This family represents the bacterial glycine riboswitch. Lineage: Bacteria; Pseudomonadati; Pseudomonadota; Betaproteobacteria; Burkholderiales; Comamonadaceae. The record is from RNAcentral. RNAcentral also lists the same sequence under 1 other name.
GCGUUCCCUACUGGAGAGAGGCCGUUUUCAAAGCGGCCCACCGAAGGAGCAAACCUGCAUCGCCAGGCGAAUCUCUCAGGUAAAGAGGACAGCAGGGGCAGC